GUGCUCGCUUCAGCAGCACAUAUACUGAAAUUGGAAUAAUACAGAGAUUAGCAUGGCCCUUACGCAAGGAUGACACACAAAUUUGUGAAGCAUUCCAUAUUUAA
Molecule: small nuclear RNA, 104 nt
Filed under: Myotis davidii
Lineage: Eukaryota; Metazoa; Chordata; Mammalia; Chiroptera; Vespertilionidae
Source: RNAcentral